UUCGGUGGGGAAACAACUUUUGCAUAAACAAAUGGAAGAAGAAAAAAAGGUUGCUGUAAAAGAGGUCGUUACGGAGGAUAUAGUUACGGGUGAUCAACAGGAUUUCCAAUCCGAAUAUCCACGUUUGGCUGCAUCAUUUGAAAGUAUGUCUGGCAUGUUUACUAUUUACCCAAAUGGAACAAGUUUUUUGAAGGAAAAGAUGAGUUUGAUUGCUCCUGACAAGGCUAAAGUAUUGGAGGAGAAGUGGAAGAAACUG
Molecule: unclassified non-coding RNA, 256 nt
Filed under: Hevea brasiliensis (rubber tree)
Lineage: Eukaryota; Viridiplantae; Streptophyta; Magnoliopsida; Malpighiales; Euphorbiaceae
Source: RNAcentral